This 326-nucleotide unclassified non-coding RNA is filed under the name soil metagenome. RNAcentral describes it as "partial contains 5.8S ribosomal RNA, internal transcribed spacer 2, and large subunit ribosomal RNA". The stretch from base 1 to 120 matches the Rfam family "5.8S ribosomal RNA", at positions 35 to 154 of the family's 154-position model. The record is from RNAcentral.
GAUGAAGAACGUAGCGAAAUGCGAUAAGUAAUGUGAAUUGCAGAAUUCAGUGAAUCAUCGAAUCUUUGAACGCACAUUGCGCCCCUUGGUAUUCCGAGGGGCAUGCCUGUUCGAGCGUCGUAUUAACCACUCCCGCUUGCGGGGUCUUGGGCUUCGCCUCCGGGCGGGCCUUAAAAUCAGUGGCGGUGCCGUCGGGCUCUACGCGUAGUAAAUUUUCUCGCGAUAGGGUCCCGGUGGAUGCUUGCCAACAACCCCCAACUUCUUAAGGUUGACCUCGGAUCAGGUAGGGAUACCCGCUGAACUUAAGCAUAUCAAUAAGCGGAGGA